This 460-nucleotide ribosomal RNA is filed under the name uncultured bacterium. RNAcentral's name for it is "partial 16S ribosomal RNA". It matches the Rfam family "Bacterial small subunit ribosomal RNA", at positions 338 to 795 of the family's 1533-position model. The record is from RNAcentral.
CCUACGGGGGGCAGCAGUGAGGAAUAUUGGUCAAUGGACGGAAGUCUGAACCAGCCAUGCCGCGUGCAGGAAGACGGCUCUAUGAGUUGUAAACCUCUUUUAUGCGGGGAUAAAGGUGUCCACGGGUGGCUGUUUGCAGGUACCGCAUGAAUAAGGACCGGCUAAUUCCGUGCCAGCAGCCGCGGUAAUACGGAGGGUCCGGGCGUUAUCCGGAUUUAUUGGGUUUAAAGGGAGCGUAGGCCGGUCUUCAAGCGUGCCGUGAAAUUUUGGGGCUCAACCAUGGGCGUGCGGCGCGAACUGGAGACCUUGAGUGCGCGGGAGGUAUGCGGAAUUCGUGGUGUAGCGGUGAAAUGCUUAGAUAUCACGAAGAACCCCGAUUGCGAAGGCAGCCUGCCGCAGCGUUACUGACGCUGAAGCUCGAAAGCGCGGGUAUCGAACAGGAUUAGAUACCCCGGUAGUC